Non-coding RNA from Heterocephalus glaber (naked mole-rat), 556 nucleotides. The record is from RefSeq and is a predicted model, not a curated record. NCBI's taxonomy places the organism in Eukaryota, Metazoa, Chordata, Mammalia, Rodentia, Bathyergidae.
UUUUGAUAUUGAAUAACUCCAAAGGAUACCUGUGAUAAAGGGUUAUUUCUCAGCUUGCUGUUAUUGAGAGAUGGUAGAAACUUCGAGGGGUGGGGCCUAAUGUGAAGUUGUAGGGCCACGGGAUCUGCCUUGAAUGGAUAGUGGGAUUGCUGUCCCUUAUUUCUUUUUUGUGUUUAUUUUCCAACCAUAAGAUGAGCAGAUUACUUUCUUCAUGUUCUCCCCAAUCCCGAUUUUCUGCCUUGCUAAAAAUCCGAAAGAAACCAGGCCUACCAACCAUGGAUUGAAAUCUCUAAAACUGAAAUUAACAAAAUUGGCUCAACUAUUAGAAAUUUCAAUUAACUAGACAUCUGUUGAAAACACACCGAAUAGAAUACAAUCUGUUUAAAAUAUUUUUUACAUAAGGUGGCUGACAGUGCAAUAAAGCAAACAACAAGAGGAAUAAGGGGAAUGAUCUGUAUUCAGCCCAUCGCAGACAACUGAAUCCACAAUGAAACACUAGAGCCUUCUACCAAUGCCACACCUCUAAACCAUAAAAACACACCAGUGACUUUGUUCU